UACGAGGGGGGCAAGCGUUGUUCGGAAUCACUGGGCGUAAAGGGCGCGUAGGUGGCGAUCCAAGUCCAUGGUGAAAGCUCGAUGCUCAACAUCGAGUCGGCCACGGAUACUGGGUUGCUUGAGCACUGUAGGGGCAGAUGGAAUUCCGGGUGUAGCGGUGGAAUGCGUAGAGAUCCGGAAGAACACCGGUGGCGAAGGCGGUCUGCUGGGCAGUUGCUGACACUGAGGCGCGACAGCGUGGGGAGCAAACAGGG
This 254-nucleotide ribosomal RNA is filed under the name uncultured bacterium. Its description in RNAcentral is "partial 16S ribosomal RNA". It matches the Rfam family "Bacterial small subunit ribosomal RNA", at positions 524 to 777 of the family's 1533-position model. The record is from RNAcentral.